UACGGGGGGAGCAAGCGUUGUUCGGAUUUACUGGGCGUAAAGGGCGCGUAGGCGGUCGUGACAAGUCACUUGUGAAAUCUCCGGGCUUAACUCGGAACGGUCAACUGAUACUGCGCGGCUAGAGUGCAGAAGGGGCAACUGGAAUUCUCGGUGUAGCGGUGAAAUGCGUAGAUAUCAGGAGGAACACCGGUGGUGUAGACGGCUUACUGGACCACGACUGACACUGAGGCACGAAAGCGUGGGUAGCAAACAGG
This 254-nucleotide ribosomal RNA is filed under the name uncultured bacterium. Its description in RNAcentral is "partial 16S ribosomal RNA". It matches the Rfam family "Bacterial small subunit ribosomal RNA", at positions 524 to 776 of the family's 1533-position model. The record is from RNAcentral.